GCAUGGUGGUGCAGUAGGUAGCACUGCCAUCUCACAGCUCCGGGGUCCCUGGUUCAAUCCCUGGUUCAUGCU
Molecule: non-coding RNA, 72 nt
Organism: Pangasianodon gigas (Mekong giant catfish)
Lineage: Eukaryota; Metazoa; Chordata; Actinopteri; Siluriformes; Pangasiidae
Source: the annotation of a GenBank genome assembly